CUCAGAGUCGACACCCAGCGGGCUGGCCGGCUGUCGGAAAGCGCGGCGGCGUUCCCCUUUCUACUACGGCGGCGGCGGCCGCGAUGUAUCCCGGAGAGGAGGCGACGGAAGGUCAGCCAGGCAGGUUGGCUCAGAAUGUGGAUGCUUGUCCGCCUUGCCUUGCACUGCAUUCGAUCGAUGAACGGGCAACCCGAUUAUGCUGGUUCUCAAGUGGUGCCUACUGCCUAGAGAUGAUGACUGAGCACAAUCUGUCACCGGCCAGAGCGGUGAUUGAAGAAUUGAGCUUCACUGUCAGUUUGAAACUUAUUAGAUUACCCGUUGUGUACUGCCCUAGAAAGCUGUGACUUAGUUUGCCUGCGGCAUAUGGCAGCUGUGUCGAUGCUGAUCUGAACUUCAUGUGAACUCCGUGCAUCCUGAUGUAACCGUGUUACCGGCAAACAAUUUGCGCUUCACGCAUUAGUUGAUCCGGUCCCUUGCUC
This is a non-coding RNA of Triticum urartu, 479 nucleotides long. The record is from RefSeq and is a predicted model, not a curated record. Lineage: Eukaryota; Viridiplantae; Streptophyta; Magnoliopsida; Poales; Poaceae.